GCGGGAAUAGCUCAGUUGGUAGAGCACGACCUUGCCAAGGUCGGGGUCGCGA
Molecule: transfer RNA, 52 nt
Filed under: Rhodanobacter thiooxydans
Lineage: Bacteria; Pseudomonadati; Pseudomonadota; Gammaproteobacteria; Lysobacterales; Rhodanobacteraceae
Also listed under: 1 other name
Rfam family: tRNA
About the family: Transfer RNA (tRNA) molecules are approximately 80 nucleotides in length.
Source: Rfam by way of RNAcentral